Long non-coding RNA from Oreochromis aureus, 2279 nucleotides. RefSeq lists it as uncharacterized. The record is from RefSeq and is a predicted model, not a curated record. The transcript is spliced from 3 exons. Lineage: Eukaryota; Metazoa; Chordata; Actinopteri; Cichliformes; Cichlidae.
CAACGACCAAGACAGACAAAGCUGGGGAUCAAACCAGCAACCUUCCAAUUACGAGAUGAGCUUCCCAACCCCCUGAACCACGAUCGCUCCUAAAGGAGGAAGGAGCACAGAGCUGAGCUUGUCCCUGCUACCUGGCGAAACUGCUAGAAGGUCGUCAGCAUUCGGUCUCUCGGAAGCGCUGCCGUGAAGUUCGGUGUAUUUCUUGGAUUGCCGGAGGAAAAGCGAUGAACACAGAGGUUGAGUAGUUGUUCAUCUGAUGUGCUGACGGAUGAGAGGACGAUUGUAGCGAAUGGAAAGGAGGAGCGUGGGACGAGAGAGAGCAGUGAGCACGGGGACUGCAGAGACACAGGAGCAGAAACAAGGACGUUUUGGGAAGAAGACAAAGCACAGGAGUCAGGGGAGAGCACGGGGUUUUGUAUGAACUGUUUACAUUACUGUAAAUAAACGCACUGCUCAUCAUUCAUCAGUCCUGCAUCUGGGUCCUCAUUCCCCACUUCCCAUGGUCUGCCACACAGACCGUGACAGAAUAAUCCCGCCAGAUGGACCCAGCAGACUCAACGGAGAGGCUCAGGAGGGAGGCGACGGACAGAGUAAAUAUGCUGUGUGAGCUAUGGCUGAACGCGUUCGGGGAGGAGUUUCGUCGAACCGUGGAGAGCCGAUUGCAGGAGAUGCUUUUUCGCUUCCCCUGGGUGACAGACUCUCUCUAUCCUGUUGUGGCAGAUUUUCUGCUUAACACCCUCCAUCUCUACUCUCCUACUUAGGCUGCUCACCAGCCCGGACAGCCGGUAGAUUUACAGCCUGACAUGCCGGCCCCGUCGUCUACAAGGAAACGAUGUUCGCGCCGCCGGCGCUCCUCACCAUAGCUGGAUUCCCGGACAUCUCAACAGCCGGUUGGGGUGAGUGAUAAGGACAAUUUUUCGUCUCCCACACCAUCUUUUGUGUUUUCAGUGGACGGUGACACCGCUAACGCUGCGGUGGGCCAGCUGUUAGCGCAGCUAGCAUCGCCUCAGUCAGAGGUCUCCACACCACUCACUGCUUCACUAUCCACAGCGGCUGUGCCACCAUCGUCUCGUCUGCCUGCAGCCACCACUCUGCCAUCUUCUCCACUAUCUGCUGCUAUGGCGAAACCCGGACCUGCUCAGCCUGAGCCGGAGGGGCUCGUGCCGCCCGCCAGAGCUGCAGCGCUGCCACCACUGGUAGGCCGCCUGAACUCUUUGGUUGUAGUCGCAGGUCACCUGAACUGUGACUGCUGCUGUCAAACCCUUAACAGGAUGCCUGACUGCCACCGGGUCGGCCGCCUGAACUGUUUUGCUGCCACCACGGUAGUUGGGGGGGUCAUUAAGCUGUUUUGUUGCCUCCGCUGGAGUCGCGGUUGAGCCUCUGGGACUUUUGAACUUGACGGUUUGGUCAUUUGGGGUUUGGUCCCUGCCCUCCAUCCUGGUACCCCCCACCGCUCGCCUGUGUUUUUUUGUUUUUUUUUUUUGUUUCAGGGUCGUCGGGAGUACUGUCACGGACCCGGCUCCGGGGCCUUGGGGAGCCUGUGCUGCCCACGGAGGAGCUCGUGCUGCCCGCGGAGGAGCUCAGCAAGCUGGAGGAUCUCAGUGAGCCGGAGGAGCCCGUGCUGCCCACGGAAGAGGUCAGGGAGUUGGAGGGACCAGCGCGUCCAGCACGGCCACCACGUCCAGCGCGUCUACGUCCUGCGCGGCCGCCAAGUCCAUGCCCACAUCCUGCACGGCCCCCACAUCCACGUCCAGCACGGCCACCACGUCAUGGAUCGUGUGCCAUGCUACACUGUGGCUGCACCACCGCCACUGGACCCAUGGCAGGACACCUGAGAUGCAGCACUGCCGCCACUGGACCCAUGGCAGGCCACCGGAACUAUUUCGCCGCUGCUGCUGGACCCAUGGCCACCCGCCGGAGCUGCGGGGUUAGUGUGUGUGUGUGUGUGUGUGUGUGUGUGUGUGUGCAGCUGAUUUCUGUUGGCCAAGUUACAGGCACCUUCAGGCCUGGUGGGUGUGGCCCUGCUGGAGGACUGGCCACGCCUGAAGUCCUUGCCACACACCUGCUGCUGAUCAGGACUCGUCGGGGGAGCUAUUUAGGAGAGUGAAGGAGCUCCCACCGAUGCGGGAUUAUUGCGAGGAGCGUGGGACGAGAGAGAGCAGUGAGCACGGGGACUGCAGAGACACAGGAGCAGAAACAAGGACAUUUUGGGAAGAAGACAAAGCACAGGAGUCAGGGGAGAGCACGGGGUUUUGUAUGAACUGUUUACAUUACUGUAA